AACGAACGUUGGCGGCGUGGAUUAGGCAUGCAAGUCGCGGGAAUGCCCAGCAAUGGGUGGAACCGGCGUAAGGGGCAGUAAGGCGUGGGUAACCUACCCCGGGAUUUGGCAUAGCCCGUAGAAAUACGGGGUAAUUCCAAGCGACGUGAUCGAGGGGCAUCUCUUGAUCACCAAAGCUCCGGCGUCCCGGGAGGGGCCCACGUGAUAUUAGCUAGUUGGUGAGGUAACGGCUCACCAAGGCGAAGAUGUCUAGCGGGUGUGAGAGCACGACCCGCGCCACUGGCACUGAGACACUGGCCAGACACCUACGGGUGGCUGCAGUCGAGGAUCUUCGGCAAUGGGCGCAAGCCUGACCGAGCGACGCCGCGUGUGCGAUGAAGGCCUUCGGGUUGUAAAGCACUGUCGAGGGGGAGAAAAGCGCAAGCUUGAUCUAUCCCUGGAGGAAGCACGGGCUAAGUUCGUGCCAGCCGCCGCAGUAAUAC
Molecule: ribosomal RNA, 482 nt
Filed under: uncultured bacterium
Lineage: Bacteria
Description: bacterial SSU rRNA
Rfam family: Bacterial small subunit ribosomal RNA
Source: RNAcentral